RNAcentral lists this ribosomal RNA (254 nucleotides) under uncultured prokaryote. Its description in RNAcentral is "partial 16S ribosomal RNA". It matches the Rfam family "Bacterial small subunit ribosomal RNA", at positions 524 to 776 of the family's 1533-position model. The record is from RNAcentral.
UACGGAGGAUCCAAGCGUUAUCCGGAAUUACUGGGCGUAAAGAGUUGCGUAGGUGGCAUAGUAAGCAGAUAGUGAAAUCGUGCGGCUCAACCGCAUACCCAUUAUCUGAACUGCUAAGCUUGAGCAUAAGAGAGGUAGAUGGAAUUUCUAGUGUAGGAGUGAAAUCCGUAGAUAUUAGAAGGAACACCGAUGGCGUAGGCAGUCUACUGGCUUAUUGCUGACACUAAGGCACGAAAGCGUGGGGAGCGAACGGG